This 125-nucleotide ribosomal RNA is filed under the name Exiguobacterium indicum. RNAcentral's name for it is "partial 23S rRNA. Bacterial LSU". It matches the Rfam family "Bacterial large subunit ribosomal RNA", at positions 2802 to 2925 of the family's 2925-position model. Lineage: Bacteria; Bacillati; Bacillota; Bacilli; Caryophanales. The record is from RNAcentral.
AGAUGAGAUUUCCCUUUGAGUAAUCAAGAAAGACCCCUCAGAGACGAUGAGGUAGAUAGGUCACGGGUGGAAGCAUGGCGACAUGUGGAGCUGAGUGAUACUAAUCGGUCGAGGCCUUGUUCUAG